AGAUGUGAGGGAAAUCUGGCUGAGAUAUCUGUCAUUCCAUUGAUUGCCAGGGUUGAUUCAGCUGAUGUGGCUGACUAGGCAAGUAUCCCCUUCCUUUCUUUCCACUCCAUGUCCAUCCCUCCCAAAGCUGCACACUUGGUCAAAGAGGAUGACCGUCGACGAUAGAGGAGGACUGGCCUUCAGUCAAGGGUAUAUGAGUAGCUGCGGUCCCCUGCUAGAACUUCCAAACAAACUCUCAAGAAAUUAUUCCAGGUGAAGAUGCAAUGAAAAUUGUCGACAUGACAAUAAAGGAUUUAGAAUAUGACAUUAACUUAGUU
Molecule: unclassified non-coding RNA, 317 nt
Organism: Cebus imitator (Panamanian white-faced capuchin)
Lineage: Eukaryota; Metazoa; Chordata; Mammalia; Primates; Cebidae
Gene: 7SK
Rfam family: 7SK RNA
About the family: 7SK was discovered as an abundant small nuclear RNA in the mid-70s but a possible function has only recently been suggested. Two independent studies have found that 7SK RNA binds the CDK9/cyclin T complex (known as elongation factor P-TEFb).
Source: Ensembl